Molecule: ribosomal RNA, 371 nt
Filed under: uncultured bacterium
Lineage: Bacteria
Description: bacterial SSU rRNA
Rfam family: Bacterial small subunit ribosomal RNA
Source: RNAcentral
GUAGGUGGCAAGCGUUGUCCGGAUUUAUUGGGCGUAAAGCGAACGCAGGCGGGAGAACAAGUCAGCUGUGAAAGCCCUCGGCUUAACCGAGGAACGGCAACUGAAACUGUUUUUCUUGAGUGCAGAAGAGGAGAGUGGAACUCCAUGUGUAGCGGUGAAAUGCGUAGAUAUAUGGAAGAACACCAGAGGCGAGGGCGGCUCUCUGGUCUGUAACUGACGCUGAGGUUCGAAAGCAUGGGUAGCGAACAGGAUUAGAUACCCUGGUAGUCCAUGCCGUAAACGAUGAGUGCUAAGUGUUGGGAGGUUUCCGCCUCUCAGUGCUGCAGCUAACGCAUUAAGCACUCCGCCUGGGGAGUACGACCGCAAGGUUA